UCUUCGGCAAUGGACGCAAGUCUGACCGAGCAACGCCGCGUGAGUGAAGAAGGUUUUCGGAUCGUAAAACUCUGUUGUAGGAGAAGAACGUUGAUGAGAGUGGAAAGUUCAUCAAGUGACGGUAUCUUACCAGAAAGCCACGGCUAACUACGUGCCAGCAGCCGCGGUAAUACGUAGGUGGCAAGCGUUGUCCGGAUUUAUUGGGCGUAAAGCGAGCGCAGGCGGUUGAUUAAGUUUGAUGUGAAAGCCCCCGGCUCAACCGGGGAGGGUCAUUGGAAACUGGUCAACUUGAGUGCAGAAGAGGAGAGUGGAAUUCCAUGUGUAGCGGUGAAAUGCGUAGAUAUAUGGAGGAACACCAGUGGCGAAGGCGGCUCUCUGGUCUUAACUGACGCUGAGGCUCGAAG
This 404-nucleotide ribosomal RNA is filed under the name uncultured bacterium. RNAcentral's name for it is "bacterial SSU rRNA". It matches the Rfam family "Bacterial small subunit ribosomal RNA", at positions 362 to 758 of the family's 1533-position model. The record is from RNAcentral.